Molecule: long non-coding RNA, 271 nt
Filed under: Phoenix dactylifera (date palm)
Lineage: Eukaryota; Viridiplantae; Streptophyta; Magnoliopsida; Arecales; Arecaceae
Description: long non-coding RNA (PDAC_LNC012603)
Source: RNAcentral
AAUGAAUUGACAAAUUAAUAAAGUAUUAUUUGGCAUUAUUCAUCAUUUCAUUGUACAUCUUCAAAUGAACUUUUAUAUGAUGAAGUCCUUAGGACUUGUUUUAUGAUAAAGGAGGAUUUAUCUUCAAGUCCUUAAAACUGUUCGCGAUCAAAUGAUAUGCUAUUACUAGGACGACAGCAUUAUCGAGAUUAGGUCAUUGUGUGACAUAUACAUUGGUUGUCCUCUUAACCAAGGAGUGUGGAGACACUGAUAUGUCACACAGGUGAAGUGU